UCGCGGCGGUGUGCGCAGAAGGGUCUGGGCUCGAGCCUGCCUGGAGCCGCCGCCGGUGCAGAUCUUGGUGGUAGUAGCAAAUACUCCAGCGAGGCCCUGGAGGACUGAUGUGGAGAAGGGUUUCGUGUGAACAGCCGUUGCACACGAGUCAGUCGACCCUAAGCCCUAGGAGAAAUCCGAUAUAAACGGCGAUGGGAAACAUGACUCUGUCGAAAGAAAGAAAAAGACGAAAGCCCAUUGAUCGGGCGAAAGGGAAUCCGGUUCCUAUUCCGGAACCCGGCAGCGGAACCGUUGUUUGUCGGGCCCUCACAAGGGGUUCGUCAGGGCAACCUAAAAGGGCCCGGAGACGCCGUCGGGAGCCCCGGAAAGAGUUUUCUUUUCUGCAUGAGCGUUCGAGUUCCCUGGAAUCCUCUCGCAGGGAGAUAGGGUUUGGAACGCGAAGAGCACCGCAGUUGCGGCGGUGCCCGGGAAUUCCCGACGGACCUUGAAAAUCCGGGAGAGGGCCACGUGGAGGUGUCGCGCCGGCUCGUACCCAUAUCCGCAGCAGGUCUCCAAGGUGAAGAGCCUCUAGUC
RNAcentral lists this ribosomal RNA (573 nucleotides) under Austrophya mystica. Its description in RNAcentral is "eukaryotic LSU rRNA". It matches the Rfam family "Eukaryotic large subunit ribosomal RNA", at positions 1389 to 1888 of the family's 3401-position model. The record is from RNAcentral. Lineage: Eukaryota; Metazoa; Arthropoda; Insecta; Odonata; Corduliidae.